UGAGCAAUCUGCCCUUCUCUUCGGAAUAAGCGUGGGAAACCGCGUCUAAUGCCGAAUACGACCUCCUUUCGCAUGAUCGGAGGUGGAAAGCUCCGGCGGUGAAGGAUGAGCUCGCGGCCUAUCAGCUUGUUGGUGAGGUAAUAGCUCACCAAGGCGAUGACGGGUAGCCGGCCUGAGAGGGUGACCGGCCACACUGGGACUGAGACACGGCCAGACUCCGUAGGGAG
RNAcentral lists this ribosomal RNA (227 nucleotides) under uncultured bacterium. Its description in RNAcentral is "partial 16S ribosomal RNA". It matches the Rfam family "Bacterial small subunit ribosomal RNA", at positions 118 to 347 of the family's 1533-position model. The record is from RNAcentral.